GCUCAUUGGGGACUUUCAUCAAACAAUUUGCAAAAUUAUCAAACAGUUUACUGCACUACUUUUGGCUCUUCGAUUUUGCUUUUUCUUGCGUGUUUAAUCUGAUCUAGUGCCUCUCCUAGGUUCCUUUUGUGUCCCUUCAUUGCUUCAAAGCUUAAAACUACUUGAAAUCACCUUGUUUGACCUCUAAUUUGUGCCACCAAACCUUGUAUGCGAAUUUAAAUUCUGUUGCAGUGCAGAUUUUUUUUCUGUGACUGGUUUGGUGUGUGGCAGGAUGCUGUGACGUUUUGGUGGAGUUCUAGCAACCAGUUUGCUUCUCCAAAAGGGGUAGCAUACUAAGGAGUGGAAGCAUUGUUAAAGCAAGCACAAGUUGGGACUUUGAGAGCACCUCCCUUGGCUGUACAGAACUGUUUCAGCAACCAGUUUUUAGCAGCAAAUUUUCAUCAUUUUGGACCAGCAUUUUGUGAUACAGCAACCACACUUGGCUUCUUUGAAUUGUAACCUUUGUUACUUUUAAUUUGGCUUGAUAUCAUGGAACAUUUGGGUGCAAUUUUCUUUCAAUUUUGAAACUUGAGUGGCUUGGGAAAAUGCUUUGCUAGCAAUUCCAAGAUCACCACUAAACAUUGUAAUAGUCUAGUUCCC
Molecule: long non-coding RNA, 639 nt
Filed under: Vigna radiata
Lineage: Eukaryota; Viridiplantae; Streptophyta; Magnoliopsida; Fabales; Fabaceae
Description: long non-coding RNA (VRAD_LNC017588)
Source: RNAcentral